CCGGACCGGCGCACGGGUGAGUAACACGUAUGCAACCUGGCCGUCACAGGUGGAUAACCGGAAGAAAUUCCGACUAAUACAGCAUAACACUCCUGAGGGACAUCCUUCGGGAGUCAAAGGAGGCAACUCCGGUGACGGAUGGGCAUGCGGCGCAUUAGGUAGUUGGUAGGGUAACGGCCUACCAAGCCGACGAUGCGUAGGGGUUCUGAGAGGAAGGUCCCCCACAUUGGAACUGAGACACGGUCCAAACUCCUACGGAAGGCAGCAG
RNAcentral lists this ribosomal RNA (268 nucleotides) under uncultured bacterium. RNAcentral describes it as "partial 16S ribosomal RNA". It matches the Rfam family "Bacterial small subunit ribosomal RNA", at positions 90 to 354 of the family's 1533-position model. The record is from RNAcentral.